Molecule: ribosomal RNA, 505 nt
Filed under: uncultured bacterium
Lineage: Bacteria
Description: partial 16S ribosomal RNA
Rfam family: Bacterial small subunit ribosomal RNA
Source: RNAcentral
GACGAACGCUGGCGGCGUGCCUAAUACAUGCGGGUAGAACGCACAGUUUAUACCGUAGCUUGCUACACCAUAGACUGUGAGUUGCGAACGGGUGAGUAACGCGUAGGUAACCUGCCUGGUAGCGGGGGAUAACUAUUGGAAACGAUAGCUAAUACCGCAUAAUAUUAAUUAUUGCAUGAUAAUUAAUUGAAAGGUGCAAUUGCACCACUACCAGAUGGACCUGCGUUGUAUUAGCUAGUAGGUGAGGUAAUGGCUCACCUAGGCGACGAUACAUAGCCGACCUGAGGGGGUGAUCGGCCACACUGGGACUGAGACACGGCCCAGACUCCUACGGGAGGCAGCAGUAGGGAAUCUUCGGCAAUGGACGAAAGUCUGACCGAGCAACGCCGCGUGAGUGAAGAAGGUUUUCGGAUCGUAAAGCUCUGUUGUAAGAGAAGAACGGGUGUGAGAGUGGAAAGUUCACACUGUGACGGUAUCUUACCAGAAAGGGACGGCUAACUACGUG